Molecule: long non-coding RNA, 457 nt
Filed under: Theobroma cacao (cacao)
Lineage: Eukaryota; Viridiplantae; Streptophyta; Magnoliopsida; Malvales; Malvaceae
Description: long non-coding RNA (TCAC_LNC006023)
Source: RNAcentral
ACUUAUGAUUUCUUGAAAUACGAGAUUUAAUAACUAUUGCUCAUCGGGAAAGUGCGAAAGCUGAUACUAGAGCCUUGCGAGGUUUCGAUCGGCAUUCAAGGUGAAGAAUGUCUGUCGAGGCUUCGUGACGGUUGUCACGGGCUCGAUGAGAGUUUCGGGUCAUGACAACGAGUCCACUAUCUAUUAGGAUUUCGGUUCUACUAUAAGUAAAUGCAUAAUUGCGAGAUCAAGAUUUAAAUAAUGAUUAAACUUAAAUUUGAUUCUCACAUGAUUUCAGUUCAUGUUAUAGUGUCAUUACUUGAAGUAAACUAUUUUGAUGAUUUGAGACUCAUUAUUCCCUUGAAGUGAAUCGCGUUCAUUUCGUUGGAAGUAAUCUGGACACUAUCCCCUUAACACAAUAAAGUGAUCAGCUUUAUUAUAUGGCUGUGAAUAAUUUUUAGAUUUAAUUAAAAUGCAU